This 402-nucleotide ribosomal RNA is filed under the name uncultured bacterium. Its description in RNAcentral is "bacterial SSU rRNA". It matches the Rfam family "Bacterial small subunit ribosomal RNA", at positions 358 to 775 of the family's 1533-position model. The record is from RNAcentral.
GGAAUAUUGGGCAAUGGGCGCAAGCCUGACCCAGCAACGCCGCGUGAAGGAAGAAGGCUUUCGGGUUGUAAACUUCUUUUGUCAGGGACGAAGCAAGUGACGGUACCUGACGAAUAAGCCACGGCUAACUCCGUGCCAGCAGCCGCGGUAAUACGGGGGAUGCAAGCGUUAUCCGGAUUUAUUGGGCGUAAAGCGUGUGUAGGCGGUUUGUUAAGUAUAAGAUUAAAGCCUGAGGCUCAACCUCAGUUCGUCUUAUAAACUGGCAGACUUGAGUAUGGUAGAGGCAAGUGGAAUUUCUAGUGUAGCGGUUAAAUGCGUAGAUAUUAGAAGGAACACCAGUGGCGAAGGCGGCUUGCUGGGCCAUUACUGACGCUGAGACACGAAAGCGUGGGGAGCAAAUAG